Long non-coding RNA from Xenia sp. Carnegie-2017, 122 nucleotides. RefSeq lists it as uncharacterized. The record is from RefSeq and is a predicted model, not a curated record. NCBI's taxonomy places the organism in Eukaryota, Metazoa, Cnidaria, Anthozoa, Malacalcyonacea, Xeniidae. The transcript has 3 exons.
AGCAGUGGAUAUCAACGCAGACUUCAUUGAUUAAGUUAUGGCAUAUAAUUAUGUAUUUCUCAUUGUUCAGGAAGAAGUUUGCUAAAGGUUCCAUCUCUAUUGGUUUGCAGGCUAGAAGCAUU